RNAcentral lists this ribosomal RNA (1312 nucleotides) under marine metagenome. RNAcentral describes it as "bacterial LSU rRNA". It matches the Rfam family "Bacterial large subunit ribosomal RNA", at positions 811 to 2225 of the family's 2925-position model. The record is from RNAcentral.
GUGGUAAGGGGUGAAAGGCCAACCAAAUUCGUAGAUAGCUGGUUUUCCGCGAAAACUAUUUAGGUAGUGCGUUGAAUAAAUAGAUGUUUAGAGGUAGAGCACUAAAUGGGCUAGGGGGAAGAGAUUCUUACCAAACCUAAUAAAACUCCGAAUGCUAAACAUUGUUCUUCAGCAGACAGACUGUGGGUGCUAAGGUCCAUGGUCGAGAGGGAAAGAGCCCAGACCACCAGAUAAGGUCCCAAAAUUAUGAUUAAGUGUGAAAGGAUGUGGAAAUUCCUUAACAGCCGGGAGGUUGGCUUAGAAGCAGCCAUCCUUUAAAGAUAGCGUAACAGCUCACCGGUCUAAUAGAGUUUCUGCGCCGAAGAUGUAACGGGGCUAAAAUCAUAUACCGAAUCUGUGGAUUUAUAAUUUUUUCGGAAAUUAUAACUGGUAGCGGAACGUUCUGUAAGCCUGUGAAGGGAUACCUGUGAAGGAUCCUGGAGGUAUCAGAAGUGCGAAUGCUGACAUAAGUAACGAUAAAAGAAGUGAAAAACUUCUUCGCCGAAAAUCCAAGGGUUUCUGCGCAAGGUUAAUCCGCGCAGAGUUAGUCGGCACCUAAGGCGAGGGCGAAAGCCGUAGUCGAUGGAAAUAAGGUUAAUAUUCCUUAACCAGAUGGUAGUGACGAAUCUUGUAAGUUGUGAACUCUUAAUGGAUUGAGUUUGCCGCGAAAAGGUUCCAAGAAAUAGCUCCAUCAUAAGACCGUACCCUAAACCGACACAGGUGGAUUAAUAGAGUAUAUUUAGGCGCUUGAGAGAAUGAUGUUGAAGGACUCGGCAAAAUGCUUCCGUAACUUCGGAAUAAGGAAGACCUUUUUUUAGGCAACUAUUAAAAGGUGGCACAAGCCAGGGAGAAGCGACUGUUUAUCAAAAACACAGGGCUCUGCUAACACGUAAGUGGAUGUAUAGGGUCUGACGCCUGCCCGGUGCUGGAAGGUUAAUGCGAUGGGUGCAAGCUCAUUUCUGAAGCCCCAGUAAACGGCGGCCGUAACUAUAACGGUCCUAAGGUAGCGAAAUUCCUUGUCGGGUAAGUUCCGACCUGCAUGAAUGGCGUAACGAUUUCUCCGCUGUCUCCAACAUCAACUCAGUGAAAUUGAAUUCUCCGUGAAGAUGCGGAGUUCGCGUAGUUAGACGGAAAGACCCCGUGCACCUUUACUGCAACUUUACAUUGGUGUUAGGAAAAACAUAUUUAGCAUAGGAGGGAGACAUUGAAGCAAAAGCGUCAGCUUUUGUGGAGUCACCAGUGAAAUACCUCUUUUGUUUUUCUUGAUAUCUAA